RNAcentral lists this ribosomal RNA (492 nucleotides) under uncultured bacterium. Its description in RNAcentral is "partial 16S ribosomal RNA". It matches the Rfam family "Bacterial small subunit ribosomal RNA", at positions 29 to 507 of the family's 1533-position model. The record is from RNAcentral.
AGUGAACGCUGGCGGUAGGCCUAACACAUGCAAGUCGAACGGCAGCACAGUAAGAGCUUGCUCUUACGGGUGGCGAGUGGCGGACGGGUGAGGAAUACAUCGGAAUCUACUUUUUCGAGGGGGAUAACGUAGGGAAACUUACGCUAAUACCGCAUACGACCUACGGGUGAAAGCAGGGGAUCUUCGGCUCUUGCGCGAUUGUAUGAGCCGAUGUCGGAUUAGCUAGUUGGCGGGGUAAAGGCCCACCAAGGCGACGAUCCGUAGCUGGUCUGAGAGGAUGAUCAGCCACACUGGAACUGAGACACGGUCCAGACUCCUACGGGAGGCAGCAGUGGGGAAUAUUGGACAAUGGGCGCAAGCCUGAUCCAGCCAUACCGCGUGGGUGAAGAAGGCCUUCGGGUUGUAAAGCCCUUUUGUUGGGAAAGAAAAGCAGCAGGUUAAUACCCCGCUGUUCUGACGGUACCCAAAGAAUAAGCACCGGCUAACUUCGUG